Molecule: ribosomal RNA, 407 nt
Filed under: uncultured Eubacteriales bacterium
Lineage: Bacteria; Bacillati; Bacillota; Clostridia; Eubacteriales
Description: bacterial SSU rRNA
Rfam family: Bacterial small subunit ribosomal RNA
Source: RNAcentral
GGGCAACCCUGAUCCAGCCAUGCCGCGUGAGUGAAGAAGGCCUUCGGGUUGUAAAGCUCUUUCGGCGGGGAAGAAAUGGCAACGGCUAAUAUCCGUUGUUGAUGACGGUACCUGACUAAGAAGCCCCGGCUAACUACGUGCCAGCAGCCGCGGUAAUACGUAGGGGGCAAGCGUUAUCCGGAUUUACUGGGUGUAAAGGGAGCGUAGGUGGUUCGGCAAGUCAGAUGUGAAAGCCCGGGGCUCAACCCCGGGACUGCAUUUGAAACUGCCGUACUAGAGUGCAGGAGAGGUAAGUGGAAUUCCUAGUGUAGCGGUGAAAUGCGUAGAUAUUAGGAGGAACACCAGUGGCGAAGGCGGCUUACUGGACUGUAACUGACACUGAGGCUCGAAAGCGUGGGGAGCAAACA